CAUGCACCAGUGGGGUCCCUCGGUCUGGCCUGCGGGAUCGGGCUGAAAUCGGCUCUCUGACAUCCUCCGAGGAGUCAGAUUGCGAGAGGGCACAGGCCAGGCCGAGGGACCCCACUGGUGCAUG
Non-coding RNA from Myotis brandtii (Brandt's bat), 124 nucleotides. NCBI's taxonomy places the organism in Eukaryota, Metazoa, Chordata, Mammalia, Chiroptera, Vespertilionidae. The record is from Rfam.